GUUCCGGUGGCCUAGUGUUUAGAGCGUCCGCCUCGGAUGCUGGAGAUCGUGGGUUCGAACAGCUACCUCGCUUGGCGCU
This is a non-coding RNA of Potamilus streckersoni, 79 nucleotides long. The record is from the annotation of a GenBank genome assembly. Lineage: Eukaryota; Metazoa; Mollusca; Bivalvia; Unionida; Unionidae.